GCGUGUGCAUAUUUGUGUAUAUAUACAUUGAUAAUUGUAUAUAACUGAAAGCAAGCAAUUGUAUAUAUACUCGCAUAAACAUAUCAAUAUAAACAUAUCGUAUAAAUGCACAUACAGUCCAUACACAAUACGUAAACAUGUGUAGUAUAUAUAUUUGUGAGUGUGUAUGAGUGAGUGUGAGUGUGAGUGUGAGUGUAUAUGUGUGUGAGUGUGUAUGAGUGUGAGUAGUGAGUGUGUAAGUGUGAGUGAGUGUGUGUGUAGUAAAUAAAUUAAUGUACAUAUACGUUAAUAACUGUAUGAACUGAUACAUCAAUAUAUAUAGAAAUAUAUAUUUUAGCGCAUUGUAUAGAUACAGUUAUGCACUUUACACAUACACACAUAUCAGUAUACACACAUCGAAUAUAUACAAACAUUACACACACACAUCAAUGUAUUUUUUACACAUAAAUAACUGUAUAUACACCGAAAUUAAUGAUAUAUAUUGCUAUACAUCUAUACGUACACAAAUUGUUCUAAUAAUUGUAUAUAUCACUGAUAAUAAUAAUACAUGGUCUUAUACAUUAGUGUAUAUAUAAACCCUUUAUACACGUACAUAUGAGUGUGCAUAUAUACAUAUAUAUCAAUGUACUUAUAUCAGUUUAUAUAAAAACUGCAAGCAAAAGUAUACAUACAUGCCUAAACAUAUCAAUAUAUACAUAUCAUAUAUAUGCACACAUCAAUCCAUACACAAUACGCAUAUAUGUGUAGUAUAUAUAUCUGCGAGUGUGAGUGUGAGUGCGACUGUGAGUGCGAGUGCGAGUGCGAGUGCGAGUGUGAGUGUGAGUGUGUGUGUGUGAGUGAGUGAGUGAGUGAGAGUGAGAGUGUGUGUGUGUGUCAAUGUGAGUUUGAGUCUAAGUGUGUGUGUAGUAUAUAAAUCAGUGUACAUAUACGUUAUUAACUGUAUAAAAUGAUAGUAAGUGUAUAUAUAACCAUAUACAUAAAUGUCCAUAAAAAUGUAUAUAUUAGUGCACUGUAUAUAAACAAUUAUGCACUUUAUACAUACAUAUCAGUAUAUACACAUCGUAUAUAAACAGACAUCACGCACACAUCAAUGUAUUUUUUACACACUAAUAACCCUCUAUAUAUAACAGAUAACUAAUGUCUUGUAUGUGUACACUGAUACAUGCAUUCUAUCUAUAUUAAUAUAUAUGACCAUAGAGACAUUUAUUAACAGUUUAUAUAGAUAUAUACAGCAUGUAUAUAUAAGAUACAUAUAUACUGAUAUGUUUAUGUGUAUAUGUAUAAACUUACUAUCAGUUACAUAUACACUGAUAUGCACACACAUGCACCCUUACGUAUUGGUAGUGCAUACAUACAUUUCUAUAUAAACUGAUUGAUAAAUACGACCAUAUAGACACUUUUUAUCCGCUAUAUAUACAGUUAUUAGUGUUUAAAAAAUACAUUCAUGUGUGUGUGUGCAAAGUGCAUAACUG
This 1472-nucleotide long non-coding RNA is filed under the name Amborella trichopoda. RNAcentral describes it as "long non-coding RNA (ATRI_LNC004339)". Lineage: Eukaryota; Viridiplantae; Streptophyta; Magnoliopsida; Amborellales; Amborellaceae. The record is from RNAcentral.